Molecule: ribosomal RNA, 486 nt
Filed under: uncultured bacterium
Lineage: Bacteria
Description: bacterial SSU rRNA
Rfam family: Bacterial small subunit ribosomal RNA
Source: RNAcentral
AAUCAACGCUGGCGGCGUGCCUAACACAUGCAAGUCGAACGCGAAAGCCCUUUCGGGGGUAAGUAGAGUGGCGUCCGGGUGAGUAACACGUAGGUAAUCUACCUUCGGGUGGGGAAUAACUCGCCGAAAGGCGAGCUAAUACCGCAUAAUGCAGCGGCACCUAAUGGUGAUUAGUUGUUAAAGCGGGGGAUCGUAAGACCUCGCGCCUGAAGAGGAGCCUGCGGCAGAUUAGCUAGNGGUGAGGUAAUGGCUCACCAAGGCUUCGAUCUGUAGCUGGUCUGAGAGGACGGCCAGCCACACUGGCACUGACACACGGGCCAGACUCCUACGGGAGGCAGCAGUGGGGAAUUUUGGGCAAUGGGCGCAAGCCUGACCCAGCAACGCCGCGUGAGGGAGGAAAUCCUUCGGGAUGUAAACCUCACAAGCAAGGGAAGAGAGCUCAGGACCAAAUAAGUCCUGAGUCCGACGGUACCUUGCGUAAGCCAC